Molecule: ribosomal RNA, 468 nt
Filed under: uncultured bacterium
Lineage: Bacteria
Description: partial 16S ribosomal RNA
Rfam family: Bacterial small subunit ribosomal RNA
Source: RNAcentral
GACGAACGCUGGCGGCGUGCUUAACACAUGCAAGUCGAACGGAAAGGCCCUGCUUUUGUGGGGUGCUCGAGUGGCGAACGGGUGAGUAACACGUGAGUAACCUGCCCUUGACUUUGGGAUAACUUCAGGAAACUGGGGCUAAUACCGGAUAGGAGCUCCUGCUGCAUGGUGGGGGUUGGAAAUUUUCGGCGGUUGGGGAUGGACUCGCGACUUAUCAGCUUGUUGGUGGGGUAGUGGCUUACCAAGGCUUUGACGGGUAGCCGGCCUGAGAGGGUGACCGGCCACAUUGGGACUGAGAUACGGCCCAGACUCCUACGGGAGGCAGCAGUGGGGAAUAUUGCACAAUGGGCGGAAGCCUGAUGCAGCAACGCCGCGUGCGGGAUGACGGCCUUCGGGUUGUAAACCGCUUUCGCCUGUGACGAAGCGUGAGUGACGGUAAUGGGUAAAGAAGCACCGGCUAACUACGUG